GGAGAGGUGACGGAGUGGUCUAACGUGCAUGAUUGGAAAUCAUGUGUACUCGCAAGGGUACCGAGGGUUCGAAUCCCUCCCUCUCCGCCA
RNAcentral lists this transfer RNA (90 nucleotides) under Verrucomicrobia bacterium RIFCSPLOWO2_12_FULL_64_8. RNAcentral's name for it is "tRNA-Ser". It matches the Rfam family "tRNA". From Rfam's summary of the family: Transfer RNA (tRNA) molecules are approximately 80 nucleotides in length. Their secondary structure includes four short double-helical elements and three loops (D, anti-codon, and T loops). RNAcentral also lists the same sequence under 2 other names. Lineage: Bacteria; Pseudomonadati; Verrucomicrobiota. The record is from RNAcentral.